This 376-nucleotide long non-coding RNA is filed under the name Ananas comosus (pineapple). RNAcentral's name for it is "long non-coding RNA (ACOM_LNC005396)". Lineage: Eukaryota; Viridiplantae; Streptophyta; Magnoliopsida; Poales; Bromeliaceae. The record is from RNAcentral.
UUUAGAAUAGCAAAGUAAUUAAUUUUUUAACAGGGAUAAAUACAAAAGUUGAAAAUUUUAUAGGGCUAUAUAGGCAAUUGGCCUUAAAUAUUUUAAAAAAUACUUCUUGUACAUCCAAAAAGAGAGCGUAGAUUUUACUCCUCUCGCCUUAGGGCUGAUAAAAAUUUAAAAAUGUUUUAGUAAAAAUCAAAAAAUAUUGAUGUGACAAAUAGAAUAUUAAUGGGAUAGAGUUGGUGUAAAAUAUGCAUCCCAUUUUGGAGUGUAGCAGCAUUAUUGCUCAAAUAUUUUAGGAACAAUUUUAUAACUAUCCCUCAAAAUUUUAGAAGUACCACAAAUAUUAUUGAAAAUAUCAAAAUAUCAAAUAUGCCCUUCCAAU